This 499-nucleotide ribosomal RNA is filed under the name uncultured Glomeromycotina. RNAcentral describes it as "partial small subunit ribosomal RNA". It matches the Rfam family "Eukaryotic small subunit ribosomal RNA", at positions 591 to 1092 of the family's 1831-position model. The record is from RNAcentral. Lineage: Eukaryota; Fungi; Glomeromycota.
CCAAUAGCGUAUCUUAAAGUUGUUGCAGUUAAAAAGCUCGUAGUUGAAUUUCGGGAUCAAUCUAUCGGUCGUGCAAUAGUACGUACUGAUUUUAUUGAUUCCUCCCUUCUGAUGAACUAUGAUGUCAUUAAUUUGGUGUCAUAGGGAAUCAGGACUGUUACUUUGAAAAAAUUAGAGUGUUUAAAGCAGGCUCACGCUUGAAUACAUUAGCAUGGAAUAACGAAAUAGGACGUUUGAUUCUAUUUUGUUGGUUUCUAGGAUCGACGUAAUGAUUAAUAGGGAUAGUUGGGGGCAUUAGUAUUCAAUUGUCAGAGGUGAAAUUCUUGGAUUUAUUGAAGACUAACUACUGCGAAAGCAUUUGCCAAGGAUGUUUUCAUUAAUCAAGAACGAAAGUUAGGGGAUCGAAGACGAUCAGAUACCGUCGUAGUCUUAACCAUAAACUAUGCCGACUAGGGAUCGGAUGAUGUUAAUUUUUUAAUGACUCAUUCGGCGCCUUACG